UGUCGUGCAAUUGUGAAUAAGUAAGCAUAUUUAAUACUAGCAUAAAAAAUGGUUACUCGGACAUAUGGCCUGCAAUUGUGAAUAAGUGGUCAAGAAAUCCAAAUGGAGUCCCUCAAGAAUCUCUUGGAUAUAAGCAAGGUUACAGAGUUGAUGUGGAUAUUCCUGACCAAACAUGGGUAGAGGCAUGUAGCUUCCAUGAUGUUCUUAUUUUCAACACUGGGCAUUGCUGGGAUUCCACAUCUUAAGUGGUUUGGGGUGGAGGGGCAGUACAAUGUCAUGGUGAUUGAUCUGCUUGGUCCAAGUCUGAAGGGCUUAUUUAACUA
This is a long non-coding RNA of Zea mays, 323 nucleotides long. RefSeq lists it as uncharacterized. The transcript has 3 exons. The record is from RefSeq and is a predicted model, not a curated record. Lineage: Eukaryota; Viridiplantae; Streptophyta; Magnoliopsida; Poales; Poaceae.